This 245-nucleotide ribosomal RNA is filed under the name uncultured bacterium. Its description in RNAcentral is "partial small subunit ribosomal RNA". It matches the Rfam family "Bacterial small subunit ribosomal RNA", at positions 26 to 285 of the family's 1533-position model. The record is from RNAcentral.
AGGAUAAACGCUGGCGGCGUGCCUAACACAUGCAAGUCGCACGAGAAAGGGUAGCAAUACCUGAGUACAGUGGCGCACGGGUGAGUAACACGUGAAUAAUCUACCUCCGAGUGGGGAAUAACUGAGAGAAAUCUUAGCUAAUACCGCAUAAUACCCACGGGUCAAAGCAGCAAUGCGCUUGGAGAGGAGUUCGCGGCAGAUUAGUUAGUUGGCGGGGUAAUGGCCCACCAAGACGAUGAUCUGUA